Molecule: non-coding RNA, 86 nt
Organism: Solanum lycopersicum (tomato)
Lineage: Eukaryota; Viridiplantae; Streptophyta; Magnoliopsida; Solanales; Solanaceae
Source: Rfam
GUCUCUGAUGAUGAUCAAAUAUAUAACUUUCGUUCUUCUGAGAUUAAAUCAUGCGGAAAAGUUAUGGAGACCUGAACUGAAGAGAC